GAGAUUUCCCUUAUAAAUGUAAAUGUCUGUCUGGCACCUCCUUACAGGGCCAUCCAAAGAAUGUGGCCAGAGACAGAACUUCUGAUAAGAUGGGCUUGUUGGUGCCUUUUCUAUUGUAACAUCUAUUUUACAUUAUAUUUACAGCCAUCAUGAUAAUAACUCCUUCCUGAAACAGAUCUUUUGUUUUAAAUUCUUUAGGCAGUUAGUGGGGGAGGUCAAAUGUCCUCAGAGAAAACAACCAAGGUACAGAGAUAGAUUUCAGGGUGGCCAAAUCUUGAUCUCCCACAUAGGCAUAUAAGGAUUAUCAAGACUAUGGAAGGGAGUAGAGAAGCUGAGGAGAGGCAAAACAUUGGUAGUAGGGUCCUUUCUGAGACAGGGGCUUGCGCCCCUGGGGGGGAGGUAGUGGUGUGCCUCCUGGCUCCAGGGCAGAGAAAUUUGUCAGGCAGAAGGGUUGAGCAGGGGUGGGAGUGUUUGGCUCUCUCCAGGUGCUGGAAACAGUGGUUUGACUCUGUGAAGUGGGAGGUGGUUCUGAGGUAGCAGAGAGAACCAUGGCUUCAAGGUGUGGAGCAAAGGAGCAGCGCAGGCAGGGGCCUGAUGGAAUGUCAAGUCCCGAAAUUUGGGUUGAUAAAGUUCAUACAGUGGAGGCCGCCCCAGUGGCCCGGCCCAUGUCACAAAUCUAAACCUGUCAGCCUGCACUUACGGGAAACACCUGCCACGUAAACCUAACAUACACCAAUCACAAUCCUCCAAUUCAGCUUCAGCUAGCGACCUUACCCUAGAAAACAGGACCUUCAAGCCUUAUAAGGAAACCCCUGACCUCCCAGCCAAUCAUGCCCUGUGUCCGCGUUGCCUCUUCUAAGGCUCUAUAAAACCCACUCUUGCCCCAAAUCCCUCGGGAGCAGUGCUCCACUGCUUGUGAGGCCUCUACUCCCCCAUCCAUAGAUUGUUUUCCCUUGAAUAAAGGACAUCAAACUCAAGUUGUUUUAUUUUUGUCAUUGACAGGAGGUAAUGGCAGAUGCCGCUAUGGAUAGAUGAACACCAGGACGUGGAGUCUCAGCUACUCCCAUCACCUGGGGACUUAGAAAAAACCUGGGCUAGAGCAAGCGCCCAAAUCAACUGAAAUGACGUUCCUGCAACCCAGAAGAAUGGGCAUUCAAAAUAGAAAUUAAAGCCAUUUAUAGAAAAAGUAAAUUAAAUUGCAUUAUUCAAUUCCACAUAUCUCAUCCAGACCUUGAGAUUUGCCCCCACUCUAAGAUAAUGCAUGUAAGUGCCUGAUAUGUAAUAUGUGCUCAAUAAAUGCUAGCUACUAUUAUUAUUAACUUUGAUCCCAGGACAAGACACUGAAGAAAGUCCUAUUACCUUCUCUUAGAGAACCAAAGAAGGAAAGGGGGUUCACUUUAUUCCUGCCAAGAAACACUCAGGGCUCCAGCUCCUGCUUUGAUGAAGAAGGCAGCCACUCCUGAAUAGCUGAAUGGUCUUUAUUAGAGAAGACCUUGACCUUGAUAAGCUCGAGAGAAGGUGGUGGGCCCCAGAAAUGCCUGGCCAGUUCUGGCCACCAGCAGGCUCUAGUUUACCGGGCUCUUGCUGUCUCUAGGCUUCAUCCUCAGGAUAAGAACUGCUUCAUGAAAACCAGAAGACUGGAAACUCUUGGAAGUGAGUGGCUGGAGGGGGAGACUGCCGGUCUUUGAUCGGCUCCUUGUGCCGAUC
Molecule: long non-coding RNA, 1707 nt
Organism: Diceros bicornis minor
Lineage: Eukaryota; Metazoa; Chordata; Mammalia; Perissodactyla; Rhinocerotidae
Exons: 3
Source: RefSeq, a predicted model, not a curated record